AACGAACGCUGGCGGCAUGCCUAACACAUGCAAGUCGAACGGGAUCCAGGCUUCGGCCUGGUGAGAGUGGCGGACGGGUGAGUAACACGUGGGAACCUGCCUUUUGGUUCGGGAUAACCGCGGGAAACUGCGGCUAAUACCGGAUGCUCCCGAGAGGGGGAAAGAUUUAUCGCCAGAAGAGGGGCCCGCGUCCGAUUAGGUAGUUGGUGAGGUAAUGGCUCACCAAGCCGACGAUCGGUAGCUGGUCUGAGAGGAUGAUCAGCCACACUGGGACUGAGAUACGGCCCAGACUCCUACGGGAGGCAGCAGUGGGGAAUAUUGGGACAAUGGGGGCAACCCUGAUCCAGCAAUGCCGCGUGAGUGAUGAAGGCCUUAGGGUUGUAAAGCUCUUUUGCCAGGGAAGAUGAUGACUGUACCUGGAGAAUAAGCCCCGGCUAACUUCGUGCCAGCAGCCGCGGUAAU
RNAcentral lists this ribosomal RNA (462 nucleotides) under uncultured bacterium. RNAcentral's name for it is "bacterial SSU rRNA". It matches the Rfam family "Bacterial small subunit ribosomal RNA", at positions 29 to 524 of the family's 1533-position model. The record is from RNAcentral.